GAGGAGCAAUGGGACCAAAUCCUACUGACCGAGGACUAAAAAACAAAGCAAAACAAAACAAAGAAACAGGCCUUCUGUGAGCCGGUCCUGUGGCGCAAACGAAAUAAUGUAAACAGAAGAUUAGUUAAAGGAAAAUGAAUUAUUUCCUGCCUCAGCACUGGCAACAAGCAGAAUCCAAGAACUUAAUUCAGUCUUGUUGUUAGCAACAUACGCUCUGGCUUCACUCUGAUUUGUUCUUUUUUUUUUUUUAAGACACACGUCUGUCCCUCACAUGAUCUGGAGAAUUUAGCCACUUCCAGCAGUUUAUUCUGCAAUCUGCAUCAAGUCUGACCUCUUCCUGAGCCAUCAGUGCUUGCUAGCCCAGGAAAACCCCUUCUAGAAGCUUCUGGGAUCCGGUGAGCCCUGAAGGAAAACUCCUCACUCAUUUCCAGUGGUUUGGGAACGUGCUGGGAGCUGCAUCCGUGGGAGUGUGGAAUGCUUAGGAAGGCGGUUUGUUGGCCACAUUGCAUUGGAGCCCCGUACAGAUUCCGGCUGGUCCAGGGCGUAUAAAGAAGCCAGGGAACAGCCUUGUUUUAGGAAAAGAGAGAACUGCUUCUUCUAAAGCUGUCAGGGAGCAAAACAGUCUCGGGGUGGGGGUCAAAUUGACUUUUCCACGGGUCCUAACAGAGGCAGGGAUGUUUGAACACACUUUUAAAGUUGUUAUGCUCUAACUGUUAGUGAUUCCCAGCCCUAGCGUCCUAGAAGCACCUGAGAUUGAGCCUGAAUACGAGUUGCUGUUCCCCUUGCCCCACCGCCACCACAGGAAACGCCUUGGGUGGGGCCUAGGAAUCUGGAUUUGUAACAAACUCCCUUGGUGACCUUCAUGCAACCAGUACGGUGCCCCCACCCGUGAAGCGACGGUGAGUGCUGUCACCCAGGGGCUGCCCACAUGGCAGGGACGGCAAAAGGAGCUCAGGCUGAGCUGUUCUGGCGAAGCCCCUUCUUAGGAAAGGUGGAUCUUGGAGUUUGGAUAAGGCGACGGGGAGGGAAUGCUGAGCCCCGGGCGCUCGCGAACACCUCCUCCUUAAGGAUGCCAGCUUGCCGACUCGCCGUCCCGCGUCGCUCCGCGGGCGCCCGGCGGCCCCCCGAGAUGCGGUCGGGGGCGGAGGCGUGCCGGAAAUGCCCGCGUGGGACAAACAGCCCCGCUGGAGGACACUGGGAAGGAAGUACCUUCUGAGCUCUUAUCCAGAGUUUGCUCUUUUUAAUGGUAAAACACAGGUUGGCGAGGGGGCUCCGUUCCACAUUUCUUCACAUGUCAACCUGGAAUAAAAGAACUUCUACCUACUCCAUCUAUUGCCUUGCUCGUUGCCAUGGCAGGGGGCUCACGACAGUGUCUUAUACUGGCUAUUAAAUGCUUCUGCACAGAGCAACACAGAGUCCUUCUACUCUCAUUUCACCAGCCAAAGCAAGUCACACGGGAAGAGUAACCGCACCAUCACCACCACAAUCCCUGUCAAGCCUUGGACAUAGCUGGAGAUGGAGCUCAGAUCUGGAGGAACGCUGGGGAUUUGAAGGACACCUUCUAAGCAGCGUUGCAGAUCUCAGCUUCAAUGUUCGUUCUCAGGAUUGUCCGUCUUAGCCACCCCAUCCAAACCUGUUUCUUGAUUGAAACAAAAUCAGAAGCAACCUAUGCAUUAACAUCAACCCUACCCCUGCAUUGUGAGUCUUCCCUGAGAUGAACCUCAAUGUGUUUGGAGAUACACCAACUGCUAGACUAAUUUUGGCCAAGCAAAAUGAGUGGGUUCCGCUGGGAUGCUCUCUGGUCCCAAUCCUGCCAUCUUAAGGCAUAUUCAGCGGUCAGCUCAUGGUCCAGUCCCUGUCAUUAGUCAGGAUCCACAUGAACAAGUAUGGUUGUCCAGAACUAAGUACUUCUUACAGACAGAGAGUCAUCGCUACCUCUCCGGACAGUCAGAGUCGAGGCAGUGGCAUCUACCACCAUUGUAGGAACUAGAGAAAGGGCUCGGGAAGCCCCCUACUCACUCCAGGUUGGACACACAAGAGGCGCUGUCUGGUGCCAGAAAGUUACUCAGAAGUAUUGACAACAGAAAGUCAUUCAUUAAAUGUCAUUUCUUAGACACCAGACGAGGAAACCAGGCAGCAUUUUGGGCCCUCUGCAAGAGCCAGGGGCAAGAUUAGCAAAGACCCUUUCUCGACUGUCAAGCCCUGUAAUGAUUUGUAACCCCUCCAGUGAAUGCAAAUCAUUCUUCAGCUGUGGAUAGACCCAUCGGCUUAGGAUCCACAUCUUGCAGGCAGCCAAAAAAUAUUGGUAUUUUAAUAUUUGUAAGAAUUUACAGGGUGCUCACUAUGUGCGAGGAACUAUGGUAAACACCAUACCUGCAUUUACACAUUGAAUUCCCACAGCAAUCCAUAAGGUAGAUACCAGAUGGUAACUGAUGUUAUCAUUCUCAUCUCAGAUGAAAAACCUGAAGUUUAGCAAGCUUAAAGAAAUUGCCCAAAUUCUAUGUAUGAGGUGAUGCCAGGAUUCAAGGCUAAGUCAGCUUGACACCCAAGCCAAUACUUUUAGCCACAAUGCUAUACUAUCACUGGAUGGAAUCUUUCUGAUACAUGCCACAACCUAACCCAACAUUUCAGCAGAGAGGAGAGUAAGUGGGGAGACUGACUUCAGGAGACCAAAGUAGAAAUUGUUUCUGAAGAGUAGACCUUUGCUACUCACAGUGGCCUAGGAUCAACAGCAUCACAUCCUGAUGCAGGACUCAGGCCCCCCGACCUGCUGACUCAGAGUCAUCAUGGGUCUGCAUUGCAACAUGUCAACAUGUUGACAAGAUCCUGGGAGAUUCACAAGCAUAUCAAAGGGUGCUUCCAACCACCAGAGCGAUGUUGGAAGGUGGGUCAGGUGCUGCCGCUGGAAGGUCAGGAUGGCCAGUCAGCAAAGCCUUCCUUCCCCUGAGCCCGCGCUGCCACCACGGCCCCCGCUCAGCCCUCCUCGCCUUGCUCCUCCCUCCCUGUUGGCAGAUCUUCACGUCCCUGGCCCUGAGGCCACUGCUCUGCAUGGACUCCAUGGAGAGAAUUUAUAGACACGUGUUUACUCUCCUCGGAGCAGGGAGAGGUCCAGCCCAGUCCAGGCAGAGAAGUGUCCACGGAGGGGGGACGAGUAAUGCUCCCAGCUUCUGACUGGAAGUCUGACCUCAUCCAUCAGACAUCUCCACCGGAAAUAGCAGGCGAGUUCUGUGGCCUGAGUGACCCCAACCAAGUUUCACUUGUCUCUGAACUUUUGAAUGCGGCUCUGCUGCUAAUGUCAGCAGGGUGAAGGGAAGAGCAGACCGAUGGUUCUAGUUGCAGUUGAUACCGGUGGAAAAUGUCUCUGUGGAGACAAACAGGGCCCCUUGUGGGUUGGAGCCCAGAGGAGUUGUAAACUACAUGUGUAUGGCCAACUCCUAGGGUCCUGAAGGAAUAGUCUCCAUUUUUGUGUACUUUGUUGGAAAGUCCAAGUGACUCACAAAAUAAACCCUUUUCUCAGAAAUCUUACUUUGUGAUUUGACAUUGAAAAUACAGAUACAUUGGAUGGCUUGAAACUUCUUGAUGACUUCUGUGAAAAAGUGAUCAAAUAUCACUCAGAUGCACCUCAGCGUACACAAGCAUGUAAAUAGUUGCGUGCCCAGCAAUAUCUUUCUCCCACUGGCGCUCAGCUCUGAGGUGCUUUGUCUUAAUUUCAGCUAGAACCUCACUGGGCAGUGGCCUCUACCCCUGAAGCUUUGCCCUGCCCACACUUGGAAUUAUUAAGUAAAUAAUUGCCUAUAGCAACUGGACGACUUCCUCUCUAAAAAAACAUGGUUUUAAAACAAUUCUUUUGUGUGCCUAAAAAUCCUGUGUAAAAUAAUAACUCAGACUCACCCAUUCCAUAAUCUUCAACCUCCUUGAAGCCUAUCUAGAACACCUACAUAGGUUUGCUAUGCAAACACGGGAAGUUUCAGGUUUGAACUCCCAUGCUUUCGGCCAAAUCUUACUUUCCAGACGGGCAGGUGGUGGUUCCAACCUUCUCCUUUUCAUCAUUGCUCCAUUCAUCUGUUCACCUGACAUUUAUCAAGAGGCUCCUGUUUGCUGGAUGCCACACUGGGCUUUAUCAACCUCAAAAUGGAAAAGACUCUCGAUGGAGAAAGUGAAAGCAAGUCAUUGCCACAGAAUCACAUCAGGCGCUCGGAGUAGGGACUGACCACCUUGCCUGAAGGAUCAAAGAACGUUUCACAAGGAGGUAAUAUCUGAGCUCGAUCCUGCAAUAGUUUGCCAAGCAAAAGAGAAGGAAGGAAAAACUUUGAAGUUAAAAAAAAAUAUAUCAGCAUGAAAAUGCAGGGGUAAUAUGGGGAGUAUUUGGUGGUACAAGAUGGGAAGUGACACAGACACACACACACAUGUAUAAUCCAAUGCCCACUAUAUGCCAAGCACUGAGCCAAGUACAUUUGUAUGCAUUAUCUCUUUAAUUACACGACAACGCAAUGAGCUAGGAAUUCUUAAAUCCCCAUUUUACCAAUGUUAUUGUGGUUACCUUACAGAUGAGGCCCCACUUACCCAAGGUCCUAGAGCUCAUCAGGCAUCACUAACACCAUAGCUUUUGCUCUUAGUGACAGUACAAGCAGGUUCAGGCAAGGUGAUAAGGGUCCUUCCAAGCCAUAUAAGGACUUUGGUCUUUAUCCCGUUGGCAACCGGACACCACUGAUGCGUUUUCAAUAGGGCAACGAAGUCCUGUGGCUAAGUUUCAGAAAGAUAAUGACACAGCAGGAAUGUGGAGGAAGUGGAGGAGUGGGAAGAGGCCAGAGACAGGGAAAGCAGUUAGGAAGGCAUGCCAAUGGUCUAGGUAAGGACUAGUGGAAACUUGAACGAAGGCAGGAGUGAGAGAGCAGCAAAGGUGGAGCUGAGAGAUCAUCCAGAAAUAAAAGAGAAAGGACAAAUGUAGAGUGCUGGGUUGCCAGGGCUACCAGAUUCCUUGUUGCAAGCCCCAGAUCCUAUGUAUUCGAUCUGGUUUAAGAAGAAGAUGAAUUCGCCAAAUGAUAGGAGAGAGCUGAUAGAGUCUUUGGGAGGGCCAGAGAAUCAGAUUUGCAAGUUUUGCAGUAAGAGAGGCACCCGAAUUGCAUCAGCCCCUCUCACGGAGACUCUGCUUUCCUGCCACCACUGGCCUUAAGGACUUAGGCAUCUAGGUAUUGGAUUCCUGUUGCUGCCCUAACAAAUUGCCAUACAUGUAGUAGUCCAAGAUGACACAGAUUUAUUCUCUUACAGUUCUGGAAGUCAGAAGUCCAAAGUGGAUCUCACUGGGCUUAAAUCAAGGUGCCUGCAGCCCUUGGCUUAUGGCACCAUCCUCUAUCUUCAAAGCCAGCAGAAGAAUACCCUCAAAUCUGUCUCUCUGAUUUCUGCUUCUAUCACUGCAUCUCCUUCCCUCACUCAGCUUUUGUCAUCACAUGGCUUUCUCUGAUUCUGACUCUCCUGCCUCCCCCUUACAAGGACUCUACAGAGUACAUCAGGUCCACCCAGAUGACCCAGGAUAACUCCCCAUCUCAAGGUCCUGAGCUCUAUUGCAUGGGCCACAUGGGUCCCAUAUUCAUAUUCAGGCUCCAAAGACGCAGACAUGGACAUCCUUGGAA
Molecule: long non-coding RNA, 5630 nt
Organism: Mirounga angustirostris (Northern elephant seal)
Lineage: Eukaryota; Metazoa; Chordata; Mammalia; Carnivora; Phocidae
Exons: 10
Source: RefSeq, a predicted model, not a curated record